AAUAUUGGACAAUGGGGGAAACCCUGAUCCAGCCAUCCCGCGUGUACGAUGAAGGCCUUCGGGUUGUAAAGUACUUUUGGCAGAGAAGAAAAGGUACCUCCUAUUACGAGGUACUGCUGACGGUAUCUUCAGAAUAAGCACCGGCUAACUACGUGCCAGCAGCCGCGGUAAUACGUAGGGUGCAAGCGUUAAUCGGAAUUACUGGGCGUAAAGCGUGUGUAGGCGGUUCGGAAAGAAAGAUGUGAAAUCCCAGGGCUCAAACUUGGAACUGCAUUUUUAACUACCAAGCUAGAGUAUGUCAGAGGGGAGUAGAAUUCCACGUGUAGCAGUGAAAUGCGUAGAUAUGUGGAGGAAUACCGAUGGCGAAGGCAGCCCCCUGGGAUAAUACUGACGCUCAGACACGAAAGCGUGGGGAGCAAACA
This 422-nucleotide ribosomal RNA is filed under the name uncultured bacterium. RNAcentral describes it as "partial 16S ribosomal RNA". It matches the Rfam family "Bacterial small subunit ribosomal RNA", at positions 360 to 774 of the family's 1533-position model. The record is from RNAcentral.